UGGGGUGUAGCCAAGCGGUUAAGGCACAGGGUUUUGAUCCCUGCAUACCUAGGUUCAAAUCCUAGCACCCCAG
RNAcentral lists this transfer RNA (73 nucleotides) under Candidatus Legionella polyplacis. RNAcentral describes it as "Legionella endosymbiont of Polyplax serrata tRNA-Gln". It matches the Rfam family "tRNA". Rfam says of the family: Transfer RNA (tRNA) molecules are approximately 80 nucleotides in length. The record is from RNAcentral. Lineage: Bacteria; Pseudomonadati; Pseudomonadota; Gammaproteobacteria; Legionellales; Legionellaceae.